GACGAACGCUGGCGGCGUGCUUAACACAUGCAAGUCGAACGGUGAAGCACCUUCCUUUUGGUGGGUGUGGCUGAGUGGCGAACGGGUGGGUAACACGUGAGUAACCUGCCCCCUUCUUCUGGAUAACCGCAUGAAAGUUUGGCUAAUACGGGAUCUUCUGGGUCUGUCGCAUGGCGGGCCUGGGAAAGCUAUUGUUUCGGUGUGGGAUGGGCUCGCGGUCUAUCAGGUUGUUGGUGGGGUGAUGGCCUACCAAGGCGGUGACCGGUAGCCGGCCUGCGAGGGUAGACGGCCACAGUGGGACUGAGACACGGCCCAGACUGCUACGGGAGGCAGCAGGGGGGAAUAGUGCACAGUGGGGGCAAGCGUGAUGCAGCGACGCCGCGGGAGGGAUGGAGGCCUGCGGGUUGUAAACCUCUUUCGCUAGUGAAGCAGGCCUGUCCCUUUUGUGGGUGGGUUGACGGUAGCUGGAGAAGAAGCGCCGGCUAACUACGUG
This 493-nucleotide ribosomal RNA is filed under the name uncultured bacterium. Its description in RNAcentral is "partial 16S ribosomal RNA". It matches the Rfam family "Bacterial small subunit ribosomal RNA", at positions 28 to 507 of the family's 1533-position model. The record is from RNAcentral.